UUCUCUGGGAAGUCCAUUUGCAAUACAGUUCAGCCUCAGGCCGAAUCUGCAGUUGGAUGCAGGCACAAUUCUUCCGCUCUAAUGUUCAAGUUACUUUAACCCUUGUGUAGUCUUCAUUCUGUAUACUCCUCUUGUCCAAAGGGUGAAAAAUGACCUUCACUAAACCCCUGAAAUAAAGCAGCUUAAUUGAAUUUUAAACCCCAAAUCUAUUUUGCAUGAAGAAACAACAUGUCACUUAUUACAAACUUUGUCAUAAAAUUUCAAGUUGACAAAAUAUCUUUAUGGGGGUUUUCUCUGCUGUUAAACAUGGAGGCGGGACCCUUAAGAUAACACAAGGGUUAUUCAUUCAUUAUCCUAACCCAAUUAUCCUGAACAGGGUGCAGGGGGGCUGGAGCCUAUCCCAGCAUACAUUGGACGAAAGGCAGGAAUACACCCUGGACAGGUCGCCAGUCCAUCGCAGGGCACACACACCAUUCACUCACACACUCAUACCUAUGGGCAGUUUAGCCUCACCAAUCAGUCUAACCUGCAUGUCUUUGGACUGUGGGAGGAAACCCACAAAACACCGGGAGAGCAUGCAAACUCCACAGAGAGAUGCCCCGGCCGACCAGGAUUCAAACCCAGGACCUUCUUGCUGUGAGGCGGCAGUGCUACCCACUGCGCCAUCUGUGCCGCCACUCAACGGUUAAUGUCGCUUUAUUUUCUUUGCGGACUGCAUUAGCGCAUUUCUAAUUUGGGCUGUUUUCCAUCCCCUUGUAGUCCCAGUGUCUCCCCCUGAACCGCCCCACCUCUGUCAGCUCUGUUAAGAAGCAAUAAGGCUUUUUAACAGAGCCCUAAUAUUGCAGUAAGGACCUGCUUUAAUUUGCAAGCUUUAAGUUCCCAGUGGAAACUUUCACAUUGUAGAUGUAAUGCUUGUGACCUACAAGGGCCCAAAAUUUUACCAUAUGAAAAAGGAAAUAUAAUUUUUUGGACCUCACCCCAUUGUAUUUGCUGGGAGUGAGUAAGUUCUAGUGACAGAAGCUAACCCAACUUACUGGGGAUGACUGGCUUUUCCCAUUUGACUGGCUCCAAUUCACUCCCGUUCAUUUUUGAGACCUCACCAAAAUUAGUACAAAAUAACGAAAGAGAAUAAUAGAGUGAUAAAAAAGACUUUGGCGAAAAAAUACAGCAAUAUCAUUGUUUUAAUGAACGUGCCCAUGUUAAUAUGCAGGAAUACAUCACUUAGUUAAGAUAACAAAACCUUUUCUGGAUUCUUUAAUAAAAUGGCAAAAAUACAUCAGAAAAAAAGCAGAUGCCUCUUUUAUCAAUCUGUUAUCAUACGUAGCUAGUUUGUGCUUUACGACUAUUAAUUUGGGUGGGGUCGCGUAAAUUAAUGGAAGUGUAUUGAGAACCAGACAAAAGGGAAACACAGAGGUGCAGUUAACGGGCAGCAGGGAAAGCUGAUGUUCCUGGUAUUCACUCCACGCAAACACAAUGAGGUUAGCUCCAUAAAACUCAAGUGAAAUGUCCCUUUAAUGGUGGUUCCACAGAGACUCCUGUAUUCUCAGCCUUUGUAUGUUGCACUGUACCCCACAGGACUUGGAGCCCCUGUGAAGUGCACCAUGGGUCAUGGGACUGAUGAGAUCGAUGUGAGGAUGAACGCCGCAUCUCUGCAGUACAAUACAAAAAUAUUCUUUAGGGAUCGAGGGGGAGAAUUUGUGUCUACCAUUUGUAAGAUUAAGCCCUACACUCCAAAUAAGACAACUUCCACUUGUGAGUGCCUAGAGCAGAUGGUUGUUCCUGUGGCACUGGGAUCUUGCUCGGUUCUUCUCGCUAUCCUGUUGGGGACCUGGUGCCGCCUCUACAAAAAGAAGCAAAAACAACCAAAGGGAAGCCAGAGAAGGACUGGUGAGAAAGGUGACACGUAGAUCUAGCCAAUUGCAGUGACCUUCCUCAAAUUUAGGCCGAAUACCUGGUUAAAAUUCAGGGGGAUUUUUCCACAGGAACUACAACAUCGUGGGAAGGAUAUCUUUCUUUUUUUUUUUUCUCACAAUUUUUUGGUAAUGUGAACUGUAAUUUUCCUCCCUGUCACCUUUGUGGGAUAGUUUUUGUGUUCUGCAAUAGAGAUAUUGCAGAACACAAACAGAUAAUUAUGUGACCAGCAGGGCUUGACAUCAACACCUACCAGUGGCCAAAUCCGGAUUGACGUGUGGCGUGUAACUUGUUCACUCUUACUGGCCACUUUGGCAGGUGAGAUUUCAGUCACAUUUUCUGAAUCUGAAAUUAAGUCAAUUGAAUUACGCUUAUGUUCCACCGCAAACGCGUCUUUUGGUCAGAGUAAUACUUUCCAUAUUUCAGAGUUACAUAUACUUUCAUGAGGUAUGGACUUGAAAAUAAAUUCUGACAAAAUAUGUCAAUUACCUAAUUUGUAUACUUUACUCAAAAUGACAAAUUUGAACAUUUUUGUUUUUGUUGCAGUCUAUAACCUAGUAAGAUAUUGUUAUAAUUCUUUCAGAUUCUAAAUAAGACAUUUUGAAGAUAUUUUGAGCCAAUUUGUAUCACCAGUCCCCAAUGGCCAUUUUUCUCGAAAUUUCAGAUUUUCCAUGAAGAUUUUUCAUGAAAAUUGUGAAAUUUCAGAAUCUAACAAUGGAAUUUGUGAUGCUGUACCUGUCCCUAAAGCUUAUAACCUGGUUCUCCUGGAUAUGAAGUAAAGGAUUUCAAAGUUUAUACAUGGUGUAAUCACUCAAAAGGUGGCAUUAUCCUGACAAUUUAAGACGUGAGGGAUGAUUUGCAGCAGUAAACAGAAAAGGGUCAUUGAUUUUUUCAGUGGAACAGAACCUCAAGGCAAUUUUCUGGUGCUACUACAUGAUACUACAACUCCCAUGAGCACUAGGUGCCAUCUCACUCCAGUUUCUUCAGUGGGAGCAGGCAAACUCGGGUGAACACAGCGCUGCAACUUCAAAGUGUCUGUUUGUAUCCAUGGCACUGGACAGCGCAGAUUCAGAUCCUCUAGUUCCAACCUGAAAACAUGGAAGUGACAACGAUCGCAGCACCGAACACAGAAAAAGAUAACGGUUCAGUAAAUGAGCGUGAACUUCGACCACAGACAGUUCUGCGACUUUGAGAAAUGCCCAUGAAUUCAAAGUUGCUUUAGCUUAUUUUUAAAAGGCAAAGAAAAUAAAAAAGGGAAAACAAAAAAAGAAAGAAAGUAGGCUUGUCACAGUGUCUGGUUUAAGCUGUGCAUUCAGCAGUUAUACUGCAUAAUGCCAAUACUGAUAUUUUGCAAUUGUAAUUAAAAGUAAUCAUUAAAAAAUAGUCAAAGUAAAAACAAUCAAAAAUUAAGAAAGAGUUCUGUUACUCCAUAAAGCGUCUGUAACGGCAGGAUACAAAUAAAAACAUUGUGCAUGUCACAUCAACAUUUUGUAAAAUUGUGGCUAUGGGUGUGGCAGCCUGUCGAGAAGUGGCUAAGUUAUGACUGGGUCCAGGAUGGUUGACGGUUCAAGCCCUGGUGUAGCCACGAUACGAUCCACACAGCGGUUGGGCCCUUGAGCAAGGCCCUUAACCCCGCAUUGCUCCAAGGGGGAUUUUCCCCUGCUUAGUCUAAUCAACUGUAAGUCUCUUCAGCUAAAUAACUGCAAUGUAAUGUGUGCACUUUGUUCUCUGCACUGACACAUGGAGAAUAUUCAUGGCAAAGGUCUGCAAUACAAGUGUUUUGUAAUUGAAAUGAUUUUGAAGUGCAUUUUUUAUUUAAUGUUCUCUUUAACAAGCUAACAUGGUAGUUAAGAGUGGUGUAUAUCUUUUUUGGUUAGUGUAGGUGACUUAGCAAUUACAAUGAUUUUUAUAUACUAUACAUUGUGUGUAUUUGCCUUCAGUACAAUCUAUUUUUGUCAAGUGUAUUUUUUCUUUAAUGAUGUAUUUUAUAUUUCUUUUUAAUAUGAAUGAUGAAUAUAUGUCUCAACUCAUGCAUGUCUCUGCAACAUUAUUUGUGAAUGUAUAUUUUAAUAAAAUGGGUUCCAACUGUUA
Molecule: long non-coding RNA, 4002 nt
Organism: Conger conger (European conger)
Lineage: Eukaryota; Metazoa; Chordata; Actinopteri; Anguilliformes; Congridae
Exons: 3
Source: RefSeq, a predicted model, not a curated record